CAGCCGCCGCGGUAAUACAGAGGAUUUAAGCGUUAUCCGGAAUGAUUGGGCGUAAAGCGUCUGUAGGUGGCUUUUCAAGUCCGUCGUCAAAUCCCAGGGCUCAACCCUGGACAGGCGGUGGAAACUACCAAGUUGGAGUACGAUAGGGGCAGAGGGAAUUUCCGGUGGAGCGGUGAAAUGCGUUGAGAUCGGAAAGAAUACCAACGGCGAAAGCACUCUGCUGGGCCGACGUUGACACUGAGAGACGAACGCUAGGGGAGAAAAUGGGAUUAGAUACCCCUGUAGUCCCUGUCUCUUAUAC
RNAcentral lists this ribosomal RNA (301 nucleotides) under uncultured bacterium. Its description in RNAcentral is "partial 16S ribosomal RNA". It matches the Rfam family "Bacterial small subunit ribosomal RNA", at positions 509 to 807 of the family's 1533-position model. The record is from RNAcentral.